AUCGGACUUGGUGUUGGGGUGGCUUUGAGCUGUCCCAGUGCCGAAGGAAGCUAUUCAGUCAGACUUAUCCCUGGAGGUAGGUCCGAAGACUGAAACUUAAAGGAAUUGGCGGGGGAGCACCACAACGCGUGGAGCUGCGGUUUAAUUGGAUUCAACGCCGGACAUCUCACCAGAGGCGACA
RNAcentral lists this ribosomal RNA (181 nucleotides) under uncultured Methanobrevibacter sp. RNAcentral's name for it is "partial 16S ribosomal RNA". It matches the Rfam family "Archaeal small subunit ribosomal RNA", at positions 761 to 941 of the family's 1478-position model. The record is from RNAcentral. Lineage: Archaea; Methanobacteriati; Methanobacteriota; Methanobacteria; Methanobacteriales; Methanobacteriaceae.